CCACACCUUAAAAAACCAUCCACGUGAACCGUAUCGUCAAAACAUUUGGGGACUCCUUGCUAGCGGGCUUUCGGGCUUGCCGGUCGGUUGAGACCUAACACGAGAGCCUUGGCUGAAAAGCCGGGGUGAGUAGUUUCUUUUUAAACCCUUUACUAAAAACUGAAAAACUGUGGGGACGAAAGUCCUUGCUUUUACUAGAUAGCAACUUUCAGCAGUGGAUGUCUAGGCUCGCACAUCGAUGAAGAACGCUGCGAACUGCGAUACGUAAUGCGAAUUGCAGGAUUCAGUGAGUCAUCGAAAUUUUGAACGCAUAUCGCACUUCCGGGUUAUGCCUGGAAGUAUGCCUGUAUCAGUGUCCGUAUAUCAAACUUGCCUUCCUUCCUUCCGUGUAGUCGGUGGAUGGGAACGUGCAGAUGUGAAGUGUCUUGGCGGCGUCGCUUUGGCGGUGCUGGCGAGUCCUUUUAAAUACAAGAUACUGUUCUUCUCUUUGCUCGAAAAGCGUGUGGGAUGUGGUUGUGGAGGCUGCCUGCGUGGCAUGUCGGCGACUGAUUUCGUGCUGAGGCGUUGGAGGUGGGCUUGAUUCGCGGUAUGGUUGGCUUCGGCUGAACUUCUGCUUAUUGGGUUCUAAUCUUGCUUUGGCGUAUGCGGGGUCGGUGUACCGUAGUCGUGUGGGCUUGGCUUUUGAACCGUGUUUUGCGUGCGAAGUAGAGUGGCCGUGUGGUUUUCGGACUGCGUGGCCGAGGGAACGAGACCUUUUGGGAAAUUGUGCUGCUACUUUUGUGGCGGCAUCUCGAUGGACCGAAUCUGCUGCUCAUCAUCC
RNAcentral lists this ribosomal RNA (820 nucleotides) under Phytophthora constricta. RNAcentral describes it as "eukaryotic LSU rRNA". The stretch from base 204 to 358 matches the Rfam family "5.8S ribosomal RNA". The record is from RNAcentral. Lineage: Eukaryota; Oomycota; Peronosporomycetes; Peronosporales; Peronosporaceae.